GACGAACGCUGGCGGCGUGCUUAACACAUGCAAGUCGAACGAUGAAGCCUAGCUUGCUAGGUGGAUUAGUGGCGAACGGGUGAGUAAUACGUGAGUAACCUACCUUUAACUCUGGGAUAAGCCCGGGAAACUGGGUCUAAUACCGGAUACGACCAAUCUCCGCAUGGGGUGUUGGUGGAAAGCGUUAUGUAGUGGUUAUAGAUGGGCUCACGGCCUAUCAGCUUGUUGGUGAGGUAACGGCUCACCAAGGCGACGACGGGUAGCCGGCCUGAGAGGGUGACCGGCCACACUGGGACUGAGACACGGCCCAGACUCCUACGGGAGGCAGCAGUGGGGAAUAUUGCACAAUGGGCGCAAGCCUGAUGCAGCGACGCCGCGUGAGAGAUGACGGCCUUCGGGUUGUAAACCUCUGUUAGCAGGGAAGAAGAGAGAUUGACGGUACCUGCAGAGAAAGCGCCGGCUAACUACGUG
RNAcentral lists this ribosomal RNA (471 nucleotides) under uncultured bacterium. Its description in RNAcentral is "partial 16S ribosomal RNA". It matches the Rfam family "Bacterial small subunit ribosomal RNA", at positions 28 to 507 of the family's 1533-position model. The record is from RNAcentral.